UACGUAGGGGGCUAGCGUUGUCCGGAAUCAUUGGGCGUAAAGCGCGUGUAGGCGGUCCGGUAAGUCCGCUGUGAAAGUCGGGGGCUCAACCCUCGAAUGCCGGUGGAUACUGUCGGGCUAGAGUACGGAAGAGGCGAGUGGAAUUCCUGGUGUAGCGGUGGAAUGCGCAGAUAUCAGGAGGAACACCAAUAGCGAAGGCAGCUCGCUGGGACGUUACUGACACUGAGGCGCGAAAGCGUGGGGAGCGAACAGG
RNAcentral lists this ribosomal RNA (253 nucleotides) under uncultured bacterium. Its description in RNAcentral is "partial 16S ribosomal RNA". It matches the Rfam family "Bacterial small subunit ribosomal RNA", at positions 524 to 776 of the family's 1533-position model. The record is from RNAcentral.